This 548-nucleotide long non-coding RNA is filed under the name Pan troglodytes (chimpanzee). RNAcentral's name for it is "long non-coding RNA NONPTRT007321". Lineage: Eukaryota; Metazoa; Chordata; Mammalia; Primates; Hominidae. The record is from RNAcentral.
UUUUAUUUUUCUGAAAUAAACAUAAAAGGCAGCCAAAGCCCUAUAGCCUCAGUUUCUUGAGAAGCCAACAGCUAUGAUGAAGCUAUUUGAUACUUAUGUUUGUUUUAUUUUAUAAUGGGACUUUAAUAGAAUACGUGAGAUAAUCUUUAUUGCCAGACUUUGCAAGAGUUUAUAUUAGUAGGAUUGUGCUUAUUUGUUUUUAUUUGUUUCUGUUGUUUUUUUUUUUAAUCUCACUUGUAUGAGAGCUUGCAUGCUUGUGAGGCUGUGUGAGUCCAUGUGUGUUUUUAAAGAAGUCAUUUUAAGAGACUUGGGAAGUGACAGAAGAAGGUUAGUUAUGGAAUGAGUCCAAACAGGAAACUACUUCCAUGCCAGGCCUUUCCUCCUCCCUCAUUGUGGUAGAUUAAUUGCAUUAAUGGUUGUAAUCCACUGACCCUCUUUGUUUCUGUGUCUCUUGCCCAGUUCUGGUCAGGGGCUGGGUGCUUGCACUUCUUCCAUUGACAUAAAAAAAGUGUUUCAAGCUAGAGGAUGAGAGAUCUAUGUGAUAGAGC